This is a non-coding RNA of Mus caroli (Ryukyu mouse), 1125 nucleotides long. The record is from the annotation of a RefSeq genome assembly. Lineage: Eukaryota; Metazoa; Chordata; Mammalia; Rodentia; Muridae.
AUGGUGACAGAGAUACAGGCUCCUGAGACUGGCCAUAGGGCUUCAAGGCCCUUCUCCCCUGUCUGCCUGGGACUGAGUCAUUUUUAUGACUCUGGCAAGAAGAGUGAUACUGUCCAGACCUCACCUUUGUCCCCAGUUCCAUGUCCUCAGAACUUCACUAUCUGUCUUGCAGUUGGUGAAAAGGAACCUGACCUGUUCCUCCUCUCAGAGUGCAAAGCCCCAGAGGAAAGUGUACAGAUAAACCUGGGCUGUUUGGCAAUGGGAAAUCAGCCACUGGAAAUCAGCUGGGAGCCAAAGAAACCGAGUAUAGUUGAAUAUGUCUUCCCCUCUGAAAUGAAAGAUGGCAAAUAUAGAAGGAUUCUCCGGGUCACUGUGCUGGCCUCAGAACUGAACCUCAACCACACUUGCACCAUAAAUAAACCCAAAAGGAAAGAAAAACCUUUCAAGUUUCCUGGAUCAUGGGGUUCUCGGUCCUCUAAGAAAGUCACUCCAACUCUCCAAGCAAAGAAUCACUCCACGGAAGCCACCAAAGCUACUGCCAUCCAAAAGGACAUAGAAGGAGCCAUGCCACCCAGCAACCUCACUGUGAACAUCCUGACCACAUCCACUCAUCCUGAGAUGUCAUCUUGGCUCCUGUGUGAAGUAUCUGGCUUCUUCCCCGAAAAUAUCCACCUCAUGUGGCUGAGUGUCCACAGUAAAAUGAAGUCUACAAAUUUUGUCACUGCAAACCCCACCCCCCAGCCUGGGGGCACAUUCCAGACCUGGAGUGUCCUGAGACUACCAGUCGCUCUGACCCCAUCACUUGACACUUACACAUGUGUGGUGGAACAUGAGGCCUCAGAGACAAAGAUUAAUGCCAGCAAGAGUCUAGCAAUUAGUGGCAUAGUCAACACCAUCCAACACUCCUGCAUCACGGAUGAGCAAAGCGACAGCUACAUGGAUGUAGAGGAGGAGAACGGCCUGUGGCCCACAAUGUGUACCUUCGUGGCCCUCUUCCUGCUCACACUGCUCUACAGUGGCUUCGUCACCUUCAUCAAGGUGAAGUAGACCAGGACAGCAGAAUCCUGCAACUACAGAGAAAAGCGCUUUCCCUCAACAUGAAGCCAACUAAGAAGAUACCUUCUA